Molecule: long non-coding RNA, 352 nt
Organism: Dromaius novaehollandiae (emu)
Lineage: Eukaryota; Metazoa; Chordata; Aves; Casuariiformes; Dromaiidae
Exons: 3
Source: RefSeq, a predicted model, not a curated record
AUAUUUAAUUAGAUUUCAGAAGAAAAAUUGUCAGAUGGAUUUCACGUUUUCAGACCAGUGAGUGAGGAAGACAGACCUACGAGAGAAGAGGAAGACCACAGACACAUGGGAUUUUUGGACUGAAACCUGCCUAAAUGCUGUGGAUUGAACACAAACUUAGAAGGAACUUCUUUCCUGGUUCCAGUUUUAAUGUAACUGAUGUUAAAAAUGGUUUACACUGUAUAGAGGAAAAAAUGUAGAAAGAAAACUUUUGGAAUGAGACUCUUUGGCUCUGACUUGGAUAACAGCCUAAAUGUUACUAUAAAUGUAAACUGUAUCCAAAUGUGGCCCCCUUAGGUCAUUCCUGACUGUU